AUUGAAUAAGUUUUUUUUAUUAGUUUACACAUUUUUACGUAGCUAUUUAGAUCGUCAGAUCAUCGCACUCUCUUGUCGCUUCGGAUGAUGACUGUCGUCCGGAAACAACAAUUAUAACACUACUGUACUAAGUUUAGACUUGGCAGGUGUUUGGACCAAAGAGUUAAAAAAGUUAAAUAAAAGAUAUGGCCAUGAGACCACCUCUAAAUUGUCUCUGACACUGUUUUCCACGUCUUUACUCGUCACAUUAUUUGUUGCUCUUCAAAAUAUUAUGAUAAACAGAUAGAUAAUCAGGAAGUGCAGCUGUGAAAUUAUGUUGAUAUCAUCGAAUGAAAAAGUUCAUUUCUGUAUGUCAUAAGCUAGAAAGUGAUCUUUACCAAUUUUUUCUGAAAAAUUAUAGGGCAUACAUAUAAGUAUAGCCGACCAGGUGCGUGGGUCAUUGUCGUUGUCAAUUCUAAAAUAGUUUUGCAGUACGCGGUAAGCGAUCAGUAACUUGACUGAAAUGUCAGCUUGUAAGUAUUUAAGUCGCUGCGAGUCUAUUCAAGGCACUAAAAAUGCCAAACUACCUACGUCGGCUUGUUGUAUCUUCAACAUUUAUUGAACCCUUGACAAAUCGAUAGGUAUAAAAGUUCCAUAGGGAAUAAUGAGAACAACGAUUUUCGGGGUUUCUCCGUAGACCACGUCGUUUAGUCGUGUGGGAAGAUAAGAAAUAAAAGAAAAAACGAAAACUAAGACGAAUUGUAUUACCAUUUACUUUUCUACUUAUAAUCGCGUCAUUCGAUUUAACAUGUAUGUACAGCUUUCAACUUUCGAUGUAGCUAUACGUAUGAAGUAUUACGAAAUGAAUCGAAAUUAAAAAAAAGAAAAAAUUGGGCCACUAAAUUUCUCUUUGUCAAAUUGAAGUCAUUAAUCGACAUAAUACUGUCUCGAGAUUUGUUGAUAGUGAUACGUUGAUUCGUUGGUCGACUUAAAUUUAUACUAGCGAGUGGAUACACGCCGACGUACACCAGACGAUUUUCAAUAUCACAUUAAUUGGUUUUUUAUAAACUAUUACAACAUUUGUUGUAUAUUUGAUGAUAAGAUUACGUGAGUAAAAAUACGCGACAAUUCGUUUUCUUAAACGUUCACAUAUUGCAAAUUGUCUGAAGGAUUCUUUUCUCGGUUGUUUCUAUUCCAACAUCUGUUUUUAUUCAAACUAAUCGUUGUGAUAGAUAAGAAACUGAGGAAGAGUGAAUAAAUAAAUAAUAUAUCGGAAAAACGUAUGCAAACAGGAAAGAAAAAACAUGUUAAGCGUAUAUUACAACUCCAGUAUUUCAUGCAAACACAAUUCUUCGGUUCAUACCUCGCGUAUAGGUAUACGCAUAAUAGAACUUCGGACUAUACUCGAAGUUUCAAAUUAUAUCGACAAUUAAAUGUCAUCAUGCGGUUUAUAGGCAUAGGCAUAAGCAAAAUCCAUUCAUGGAAUAAUGGCUAUUUGAGUUGAAUGUGCGGUCUCCGAAGUUUAUUUAUAUCUAUAUUAUACAUAUUACUACCGAGCUUAAAGAUACGCCGCUGCUCGAGUGAUUCACUCGCACGGUGUAAUAAAUCUUUAAGGAAAACAGCUGUGCGAGUUUUACUUAUAUAUGUAAUAAUCUUUCAACUUUAUAUGUACAAUAGUUUACAUAGUCGUGAACAAGAAUAGGUGUACAGACGUUGAUAGUGAUAGCCGGAAUGGGAGACUAACGAGAAACUUCCGCGUUGAAAAACCUAAGGGUACAAGGGGACGAGGUCGCGACGCCCGAUGUCCUAGAAAAUAGUAAGAAACUUAAGGAUCCAGGACCCAGGUAUGAACUCGCGUUCUAGCUAUGCAGGGUGUGCUACAAUUUGCGGGAUCCCUGAUCCGUUCUAAGGAAACUUUUCGAAUUCUCAUGAUUUUCUUUACAAUAACAACAGCUGCUGUCAACGUAAUGCCGUGCCAUGCACGACGCAAGCGAAGGAAAUAUGAAAAGCUAAUUUUUUGAAAUUAGUUCAUCGCCGUAUUAAGGAGACUUGAAUCGCCGGUGAGCAUUUGUGACGAGGUUCGUCGCACCCACUAUACGACGUCGUUGACCCAAUAAAUGUAUCUCCAUGUACGUACAAUGUUUACCUGUUGAAUAUACAUAGUAUAUACUGCGCAAUAUGCUCUCGGGCAAUUCGCAGCAUCGCAACAUAUAGGAAAUAGAUCUCUUUGGAGAGCAAAUUCCUUCUCCCUCCCUUCUCCCUCGUCUCACACAUAUCGCACGCACCAUCGGUUAUAAUGUUGUCUCGUUCUCUAUAUACGUAUCUCUUAUUUUAUUACUGUCGUUUCUUUUUUAAUUGAAUUCUGUAAGUGGUUGUACAAAAAAUUAUGAAAAUCGGUGAAUCGAAAAAUGGCGAAUAUAAAAUCUCUGCAUCCGGUGUAAGAAUUAAUGAGAAGCUUUGGGCCAU
Molecule: long non-coding RNA, 2445 nt
Organism: Athalia rosae (coleseed sawfly)
Lineage: Eukaryota; Metazoa; Arthropoda; Insecta; Hymenoptera; Athaliidae
Exons: 3
Source: RefSeq, a predicted model, not a curated record